Molecule: long non-coding RNA, 1386 nt
Filed under: Callithrix jacchus (white-tufted-ear marmoset)
Lineage: Eukaryota; Metazoa; Chordata; Mammalia; Primates; Cebidae
Description: lncRNA (ENSCJAG00000080323.1)
Source: RNAcentral
UUGAAUUGAUGGCUCCCAUCAUUAUUGAGUAAGACACAUUCCUCAGUGGGUAUCUGGAGUUCAAAUAUUUUGUGUUGUUGAUUCAAGUGAAAGUAAUGGGCUACAAAUGGCAGAUAUGCCAGUGGCACAUCGUAUUAUUAUGAUGCCAUGUAUAUGAUGUCAUAUAUAUUGUGAUGUCAUAUAAUGUCAUGUUAUUUAAAAAAUUAAAGAAUGUUAUUUGUAUUGUUGCCCAAGUAGAGAAUAUUUUCACCUACCCACUUUGGGCAAAAUGGUGCCAGUGCAAAGAGGAAAAAUCGUAACUCAGAGACUUAAGAUGUGAACUUAGAAAGUGAAUCAAGGCUGGGUGUGGUGGCUCAUUCAUGUAAUCCCAAAACUUUGGGAGGCCGAGGAAGGUGGAUCACUUAAGGCAGGACAUUAAGCUUCACUUGAGUGGUCAUGGAUCUGAAUUUUCAAAGGUGCUUGAGGCAAAGCAACAGUCUCACUUCUGUUCAACAGAUACUACUUUCCUUUUACUGCCAAAAACCAAGGUCAAGAAGGUGAUUUGGCCAGAGGCCCAGUGUAAUCAAAGCCACUGCAGAGAGAAGACAUUCAAGCCACAGCAGAAUUUCAGGAGGCACUGGUUUUGCAUGUGAACUUCACCUUCUGCAGAACAAAGUCGGCUUACCAUGAACUGGAAAUCAAGUGGAGGAUCAUUCAAUGGCCAUAUUUCUUGUAAGAAAAAAAUAGAUUUUAUUUCCCAUCAACAUUUUGUUUCUGACCCAAAUAUGCAAGAUACGGAACAGUACUAGGAAAACAGAAGUAGGUGGAGAAAAGAAAUUGAAAGGAAUUUGUUCUGCUUUCCUCAUGUUAUAUAAUAAGUAGGGCCUAAAGAAAACGUUAUUCUGUGAGUCGUUAGGAUCCGGAAACAAAGAUUCAGGUCAGUUAUCCAUAGGUUGAUUACUGAAAUUGACCUCCCAUAAGGCAUCAAUUUCUCCUUAGAAAUUACAGACAACUGUGCAUCAGGUACAACCAGAUUAUUCUUUAUGCUCAACCACCACCAUGGCUUUUCCAUUCUUCUUGUGAAAUGAAGAUAAUUAUAGAGUUUGAUAAAAUCUUUUAUUAUUAAUUAAAUAUGGCACAUGCACAUACUUAAUUAUGGAUUCCAAAUGUAAAACCCUAUAUAGUUAUUCUUUUAAGAGGAACUGUCAAGCAAGCUUCUUUGCUUUGUAGUUGGGUUUCAACAAAUACUUGCCAAUUUGAUUUAAAUUCCAUUUCAAGACAAGUUAAUUUGCAGAUUUAGAUUUAAAUGCUUUGUUAUUAUUAUUAUUAUUUUUAAGUACCACAUACCUCAAGAUUUAAAGGACUAAGCGAAAGUGACUAAUUUAUGUGUGCCACUAAUUCGGUCAA